Molecule: ribosomal RNA, 468 nt
Filed under: uncultured bacterium
Lineage: Bacteria
Description: partial 16S ribosomal RNA
Rfam family: Bacterial small subunit ribosomal RNA
Source: RNAcentral
GACGAACGCUGGCGGCGUGCUUAACACAUGCAAGUCGAACGGAAAGGCCCUGCUUUUGUGGGGUGCUCGAGUGGCGAACGGGUGAGUAACACGUGAGUAACCUGCCCUUGACUUUGGGAUAACUUCAGGAAACUGGGGCUAAUACCGGAUAGGAGCUCCUGCUGCAUGGUGGGGGUUGGAAAGUUUCGGCGGUUGGGGAUGGACUCGCGGCUUAUCAGCUUGUUGGUGGGGUAGUGGCUUACCAAGGCUUUGACGGGUAGCCGGCCUGAGAGGGUGACCGGCCACAUUGGGACUGAGAUACGGCUCAGACUCCUACGGGAGGCAGCAGUGGGGAAUAUUGCACAAUGGGCGGAAGCCUGAUGCAGCAACGCCGCGUGCGGGAUGACGGCCUUCGGGUUGUAACCCGCUUUCGCCGGUGACGAAGCGUGAGUGACGGUAAUGGGUAAAGAAGCACCGGCUAACUACGUG